GACGAACGCUGGCGGCGUGCUUAACACAUGCAAGUCGAACGAUGAAGCCAGCUUGCUGGUGGAUUAGUGGCGAACGGGUGAGUAACACGUGGGUGAUCUGCCCCAAACUUUGGGAUAAGCCUGGGAAACUGGGUCUAAUACCGAAUAUGACCGAUACUCGCAUGGGUGUUGGUGGAAAGCUCCGGCGGUUUGGGAUGGGCCCGCGGCCUAUCAGCUUGUUGGUGGGGUAAUGGCCUACCAAGGCGACGACGGGUAGCCGGCCUGAGAGGGCGACCGGCCACACUGGGACUGAGACACGGCCCAGACUCCUACGGGAGGCAGCAGUGGGGAAUAUUGCACAAUGGGCGCAAGCCUGAUGCAGCGACGCCGCGUGAGGGAUGACGGCCUUCGGGUUGUAAACCUCUUUCACCAGGGACGAAGCGAAAGUGACGGUACCUGGAGAAGAAGCACCGGCCAACUACGAGCCAGCAGCCGCGGUAAUACGUAGGGUGCGAGCGUUGUCCGGAAUUACUGGGCGUAAAGAGCUCGUAGGCGGUUUGUCGCGUCGUUCGUGAAAACUUGGGGCUUAACUCCAAGCGUGCGGGCGAUACGGGCAGACUUGAGUACUGCAGGGGAGACUGGAAUUCCUGGUGUAGCGGUGAAAUGCGCAGAUAUCAGGAGGAACACCGGUGGCGAAGGCGGGUCUCUGGGUAGUAACUGACGCUGAGGAGCGAAAGCGUGGGUAGCGAACAGGAUUAGAUACCCUGGUAGUCCACGCCGUAAACGGUGGGUACUAGGUGUGGGUUCCUUUUCACGGGAUCCGUGCCGUAGCUAACGCAUUAAGUACCCCGCCUGGGGAGUACGGCCGCAAGGCUAAAACCCAAAGGAAUUGACGGGGGCCCGCACAAGCGGCGGAGCAUGUGGAUUAAUUCGAUGCAACGCGAAGAACCUUACCUGGGUUUGACAUACGCUAGAAAGCCAUAGAGAUAUGGCCCCCCUUGUGGUUGGUGUACAGGUGGUGCAUGGCUGUCGUCAGCUCGUGUCGUGAGAUGUUGGGUUAAGUCCCGCAACGAGCGCAACCCUUGUCCUGUGUUGCCAGCACGUAAUGGUGGGGACUCGCAGGAGACUGCCGGGGUCAACUCGGAGGAAGGUGGGGAUGACGUCAAGUCAUCAUGCCCCUUAUGUCCAGGGCUUCACACAUGCUACAAUGGCCGGUACAGAGGGCUGCGAUACCGUGAGGUGGAGCGAAUCCCUUAAAGCCGGUCUCAGUUCGGAUCGGGGUCUGCAACUCGACCCCGUGAAGUCGGAGUCGCUAGUAAUCGCAGAUAAGCAACGCUGCGGUGAAUACGUUCCCGGGCCU
Molecule: ribosomal RNA, 1339 nt
Filed under: uncultured bacterium
Lineage: Bacteria
Description: bacterial SSU rRNA
Rfam family: Bacterial small subunit ribosomal RNA
Source: RNAcentral